UACGGAGGAUGCGAGCGUUAUCCGGAUUUACUGGGCGUAAAGGGAGCGUAGGCGGACUUUUAAGUGAGAUGUGAAAUACUCGGGCUCAACUUGAGUGCUGCAUUUCAAACUGGAAGUCUAGAGUGCAGGAGAGGAGAAUGGAAUUCCUAGUGUAGCGGUGAAAUGCGUAGAGAUUAGGAAGAACACCAGUGGCGAAGGCGAUUCUCUGGACUGUGACUGACGCUGAGGCUCGAAAGCGUGGGGAGCAAACAGG
Molecule: ribosomal RNA, 253 nt
Filed under: uncultured bacterium
Lineage: Bacteria
Description: partial 16S ribosomal RNA
Rfam family: Bacterial small subunit ribosomal RNA
Source: RNAcentral